GCCUGUCUUGGCAGGUAGAUACUAAAAUUGGAACAAUGCAGAGAAAAUUAACAUGGCCCUGUGGAAGGAUGGCAUGCAAACCUGUGAAGGAGUCUAUAUUUUU
Small nuclear RNA from Meriones unguiculatus (Mongolian gerbil), 103 nucleotides. The record is from Ensembl. Lineage: Eukaryota; Metazoa; Chordata; Mammalia; Rodentia; Muridae.